RNAcentral lists this long non-coding RNA (1054 nucleotides) under Chinchilla lanigera (long-tailed chinchilla). RNAcentral's name for it is "lncRNA (ENSCLAG00000027576.1)". The record is from RNAcentral. Lineage: Eukaryota; Metazoa; Chordata; Mammalia; Rodentia; Chinchillidae.
GAAUCUGCAUGGGUGAGAGUAGAAUGUGGAGAUACGGGUAAGCAUAUCACAGUGCUAGGCAGCAGAAGCGGAAAUAAAAGUACAAGCAAGCUAAAUUCCAGCAGACCCUACGGGCAAUCAAUCACAUCAUAUGUCCUGGUUCCGCCUCCCUUCAUCCUCCGCACCCACCAGAGGGCUCACUCUAAUUGGCCCUUAAAGUCCAAGGACCCAGAAUGCAAUGCACCCUUGCAUUAGUUACCUAUAGAGAAGCAAGAAAAGACUCACCUACCUUGGAAGUAUACUUCUAUGAAUGCAACCUUAAUUUAUAUCAGCCUGGUGGUAUAAGAGAGCAUCUUGGAGGGAUAAGUCUAUGAAAUUAGCUUGUCAUAUAACAAGAAACUUCCCCAGUGCUUGGAGCUGUGGGGCCUGCUUCUCUCUGAGGAAUGCUGAAAGAAUCUUAAGAACACAAGAGCGAGGGCCAUGUGCGUUUCCUAUUAAUGAGUGCUGCCUGCACUCAGGUUACACAGCCGUGCUCUUGGAUGAAUUUCAAUGUUUUGAUCCUUUUUAAGAAAGCAACUGAAGCUAUCCCAGUUAUGAAUUCUGAAAUACCCCUUUGCGUCCAUUGGGGUGGGGAAGCUGAUUGGGUCACUGUGUUAUCAUCCCUCAUAUCUCCCAGCAGACCUGCAUAAGUAAAACCACAUUUCUGCUUUCUAGCCUUCCAGGUAUCAAGACAUGGGACCAUCGGGCUGGCUGGGGAAGCAACAUGAGGUGCACUGUCAGACUUGGAAACCACAAACUAAGCAAGUGCCAUGAGACUGGGAGCUCGAGACCAUGCAGGCUGCCAGCCAGAAAGGCAGAGGAAAUGGCUUUCCUGAUGUUUUCAGGUAGGCCCCCAAAAUGUCUCCUAGUUGCCUCAAUUAGAUGCAUUUGUAACACAGUGGGAUGCACGAGAGGCUCUCAUUCACGCUUUAUACACAGCCCCACGCUCUCAUGCAGCAGUACGGGCAAGCCAGUCCCAGUUUUGCUGACGUACAGCUGGCCUGACAGCUCUACCAUCCCAGGGCAGAGAAGUUGA